UACGGAGGGGACAAGCGUUGUUCGGAAUUACUGGGCGUAAAGAGCGCGUAGGAGGAAAUGUAAGUCAGAGGUGAAAUCCCGGGGCUCAACCUCGGAACUGCAUUUGAAACUGCAAGUCUUGAGUCCGGAAGAGGUGAGUGGAAUUCCUAGUGUAGAGGUGAAAUUCGUAGAUAUUAGGAAGAACACCAGUGGCGAAGGCGGCUCACUGGUCCGGUACUGACGCUGAGGUGCGAAAGCGUGGGGAGCAAACAGG
RNAcentral lists this ribosomal RNA (253 nucleotides) under uncultured bacterium. Its description in RNAcentral is "partial 16S ribosomal RNA". It matches the Rfam family "Bacterial small subunit ribosomal RNA", at positions 524 to 776 of the family's 1533-position model. The record is from RNAcentral.